GAUGAACGCUGGCGGCGUGCUUAACACAUGCAAGUCGAACGAGAAGUGAAGACGGAAACCUUCGGGCGGAAGGCUUUAUUUCGAGUGGCGGACGGGUGAGUAACGCGUGGGUAACCUGCCUCAUACAGGGGGUUAACAGUCGGACACGUCUGUUAAUACCGCAUAAGCCCACAGCACCGCAUGGUCGGGGGGUAAAAACUCCGGUGGUAUGAGAUGGACCCGCGUUCGAUUAGCCAGUUGGCGGGGUAACGGCCCACCAAAGCGACGAUCGAUAGCCGAUCUGAGAGGAUGACCGGCCACAUUGGGACUGAGACACGGCCCAAACUCCUACGGGAGGCAGCAGUGGGGAAUAUUGCACAAUGGGGGAAAGCCUGAUGCAGCGACGCCGCGUGAGUGAAGAAGUAUAUCGGUAUGUAAAGCUCUAUCAGCAGGGAAGAAAAUGACGGUACCUGAGUAAGAAGCCCCGGCUAACUACGUG
Molecule: ribosomal RNA, 478 nt
Filed under: uncultured bacterium
Lineage: Bacteria
Description: partial 16S ribosomal RNA
Rfam family: Bacterial small subunit ribosomal RNA
Source: RNAcentral